Molecule: ribosomal RNA, 391 nt
Filed under: Limnonectes kuhlii (Kuhl's wart frog)
Lineage: Eukaryota; Metazoa; Chordata; Amphibia; Anura; Dicroglossidae
Description: partial 12S ribosomal RNA
Source: RNAcentral
CACAUGCAAGUCUCAGCACUCCUGUGAGGACGCCCUCUUUUCUAACCCAGACUUAGGAGCCGGCAUCAGGCACUAAACUCGCCUACAACGCCUAGUUCAACCACACCCCCAAGGGUUUUCAGCAGUGAUUAAUAUUGUAUAUAAGUGUUAACUUGAACCAGUUAUGGGGAAGAGAGCUGGCCAACUCGGUGCCAGCCGCCGCGGCUAAACCGCACGAGCUCAAGUUGAUAGCUUCCGGCGUUAAGCGUGAUUAAAGACUUACUUAAUUAGAGAAAAACCUAAACUUAGCUGUGAUAAGCUUGUUAUUGUGAAAAACAAGUACGAAAGUUGCUCUAAUAGACUUGAAUACACGACAGUCGGGAAACAAACUGGGAUUAGAUACCCCACUAUG